GGAAGCCUUGAGGACGACCUCAGGCGUAACACAGGGACAAUCAACCUCAAGCAUGUUCUCCUCCAACACAAAAUGCUGGCGCCAGAAAGAGAUGAUGUUAGCCUUGACGCGGCAGCCGGGAGGGCCGUAGUCGUAGAGUCCAGCGACGCCGCCGUAGAUCUUGAAGGCGGGGAUGUAGAAGAGCCGUCGCUCGAGGGUGUUGACGACUGCCUGGCGGAAGGACUCGCGGCUGACGGAGCCGUCGCCGUUACUGGCGACGGCGGCUUGGAGCUGCUUGGCGGAAGCGGCGGCAUCGAGCUUGAGGGCUUUGAGAGAAUCGACAGCGGCGUCGAUCUCGGGUUUGGUAACGCCGGGACGGGACUUGAGGGCGCGGACGGCGGCGGCCUGGACGUCGACAGCGGCGUGGGCGUCGGCAAGGGACUUGCGGAGGGAGUCUUCGGAUGGGGCGGCCAUCGGGAGGGGGAGGGAUGCGAGCCGGCGGCGGAGGAGUGGGAGUGGAUUGGAG
Molecule: unclassified non-coding RNA, 505 nt
Filed under: Hevea brasiliensis (rubber tree)
Lineage: Eukaryota; Viridiplantae; Streptophyta; Magnoliopsida; Malpighiales; Euphorbiaceae
Source: RNAcentral